GCUCAGAUUGAACGCUGGCGGCAUGCCUUACACAUGCAAGUCGAACGGCAGCACGGGAGCAAUCCUGGUGGCGAGUGGCGAACGGGUGAGUAAUAUAUCGGAACGUGCCCAGUCGUGGGGGAUAACGCAGCGAAAGCUGUGCUAAUACCGCAUACGAUCUCUGGAUGAAAGCGGGGGACUCGCAAGGGCCUCGCGCGAUUGGAGCGGCCGAUAUCAGAUUAGCUAGUUGGUGGGGUAAAAGCCCACCAAGGCGACGAUCUGUAGCUGGUCUGAGAGGACGACCAGCCACACUGGAACUGAGACACGGUCCAGACUCCUACGGGAGGCAGCAGUGUUUUUUUUUUUUCAAUGGGCGCAAGCCUGAUCCAACAAGGCCGCGUGCAGGAUGAAGGCCUUCGGGUU
This 402-nucleotide ribosomal RNA is filed under the name uncultured bacterium. Its description in RNAcentral is "partial 16S ribosomal RNA". It matches the Rfam family "Bacterial small subunit ribosomal RNA", at positions 22 to 424 of the family's 1533-position model. The record is from RNAcentral.